RNA transcript from Onychostoma macrolepis, 4001 nucleotides. It is a transcript of the gene named zinc finger protein, with no coding region annotated. The transcript has 8 exons. The record is from RefSeq and is a predicted model, not a curated record. Lineage: Eukaryota; Metazoa; Chordata; Actinopteri; Cypriniformes; Cyprinidae.
AUGAUACCCGCGCGAGCACGCGUAUGUGUGCGUGUGAGUGUGUGCAGUGUAAUUCAUAUCUCUGCUAGUAGUAUCUCUGGAUUACUGACGUGUGUGCCCGCGCUCUUAUAUCUGUGCGCUCUCGCUUUACGCGCAGUUUGAUGGCGUCGCCGCGCGCUCCUCUCUGCGUUCUCCGAUCAUCGCUUACCAUCUCACGGUUUAUGGACGGAGAGGACCAGAUAUUAUGAUAGCACAUUGUCGGGGUUGGUUCUACAAUAUUUUCGCCAAAGUGUUUUGUGGAAACUGUGUCACCGCUUGAGCUCCGAACCGAGCCGUGAGAGAUAAGAGAAGUUUGCCGGAUACAGGUGCGAUCUUUCUCUAACUCCAGCUGAUGAUCACAGACACAGAUCUGGACUGCCGGAUUCCAGUAGAUCAUAUCAGAUCUAGCGCAAGAUGAAGUCUGCCGGAGCUGGUGAUGAAGGACUCUUCACGGAGAGCUACUGUAACAUCUGCAACGCUCAGCUGAUCUCCGAGUCCCAGCGCGUGGCACACUAUGAGAGCAAGAAACACGCCAACAAAGUGCGUCUGUUCUACAUGCUCCACCCAGAAGAUGGAGGUCCACCAUCCAAAAGACUGAGACCAGACAAUCCGGACAGUGCAGAAAAUGAGGUGGACAGAAACAAAUGCUGUACGCUCUGCAAUAUGUUCUUCACAUCUGCCAUUGUAGCUCAGUCGCACUACCAGGGCAAAACACACGCUAAGAGAGUUCGCUUGGUACUGGGGGAGACGCCAAGUCUGCCUACACCCACAGAGUCAGCCCCGCCCACCCCUCAGACCACAGACCCGCCCCCUCCCACGUGGCAGCCGCUAGCCAAUCACGGCGAGGCGGGCAAGUACUGCUGCUUGUGUGGCGCCUGGUUCAACAACCCACUGAUGGCACAGCAACACUACGAAGGCAAGAAACACAAGAGAAAUGCGGCACGGGCGCGACUGCUGGAGCAGCUGGCUGGCAGUCUGGAUGCCAAUGAAAGCACAGGCCUGCGCCGGAGUUACUCGUGCAGCGUUUGCAAAGUGGUGCUGAACUCCAUCGAGCAGUAUCACGCACAUCUCCAGGGCUCCAAACACCAAAACAAAUGAAGCCCAUUCUCCUGCAGGCCAGCGAGCUGUCCAACCUCAGCCAAAGACAGAGAAAAGCAACCAAAGGCACACCAAUACUUCACCAGGAUAUCGAGAGAUGAGUCAACAGCUGACAGGGUUUUUUAAAGCUCAUGUAAAUAGGGACCCAGGAGCGUCCAGAGCGAGUCUGGCCUCACAGCGACGCUGAAGGGGAAGGCUGAUGUCAGUUCCUCUUUCUUCUGCUGUCACUCCAGCGGAUUGGAGCAGAUACAAGAGGAUCGUGACCCCUCUGGCGCCCUCACAUACAAACACCUCUGACUCAUUUUGGCAAUGGCUGAUUGUGAUGGCAGAUCCUCUUCACCUGGGAUGUCAGGGUUGGCACAGUUUCCAAGUUUAAAACAACAUCAGCAAUGAAGAACUGGAAAUGCUGGAGCUGAAACAGGAGAAACAGAGCGUUUCAGGAAUUUACAGAACUGCACAAACUAAUUGUGAACUCAUAAGAAAAGGCGUCAUGUUUGGCCACAGGAAUUGUUCACCUACAACAUCUGAGGUUCCUCAAAUGUCAAGUGUUUUAUAUUUAUAUUCACAAUCAAAAGCUCAAAGAUCGAUCUACUUUGGGAGUAUCGUCCAUCCUUCCAUGAGCAUAAAGGAUGCCUAUGAUCAAUCCAGUGAUAUUCAUCAUGUAACAUGAGCUCACCAGCCUGAAAAGACAUGCAGUGGUCCUGCUACUUUUAUUUUUGCCUUUCAAACUCUUGUAUGCAGUGGCCUGUCAUUUUCUCUGCUCUUCAAAUGAGAUAUCGCUGCUUUGGUUGUUGGCUUUGACAUGCCGGUGACAGAAAGAGAUCAUCAACCUUUUACAGUGAUUUUGUUGAGUACGUGUCUCACUUGUGUGUGAAUGCUGCCAGUGAGGAAUCAAUUCAACUGCCUUUGUGUGAGAUCUCUCUCGGCUGUGGUCAAAAACAAUAUUUCAGCACUAAUUUCAGCACUGUUACCACAGACAAAACGUCCUGUUUAUUCACACUACAGUCAGUGUUGCAUAGGACAGAACAUUCCUAUAGAGCUGUGAUGCUGCUUAACCACUGAUGUCAAACGGAAUGUGCCAUCAAUAUAAAGGAGUCCAGACGCAAAGAGUUGGCAUUUUUCACCCUGACUCAAUCAUGGAUGAUUCACAUGGACGUAAAUGUGUGAACCAGGCUCUGAGCUUUAUCUAAAUCUAUGCCAAAAUGACUGCCUGUAAAACCAGAGCUCAGUGCCUGCUGUUUUAAGAAUGAAUGCUCUUUUUUGCUUUUCUGAUGUGGCAUAACAAGUGGUGUUUUUCUUGUUAUCUUAGAAUAUAUGGUAGUUACUAAACUAAAACAGACCUGAGGCCUCAUUUAUAAAGACAUUUCCUAAAUGUUCCUAUGAUUCCUAAAAAAAAAAAAAAGUCCCAAAUCCAUCCUUAUUUUGGUAUCCUACAAAAAUCCCACAAAUAUCCUUUAGUAGGAGAGUGUCAGAAUCAUAAAUUAUCCAUGUUUACAAGCACAUCAUAAUUUGAUUCAAAAUCAUAUUUUCACAAAAAUGUGUACUUGACAUAAUAAAAUCUCUUGUUAUUUUUCAGUAGGUUUUCGAAUCUUUUUUCAGGAAGCAGAUUUUUUUUUUUAAAUCAUUAGCAUUUGUCCAAAAAUAUAAUUCAUAUCAGAAUAUUAAUGUGAAUGUAAACAUUGUCGCUCAUUUAUUCAUUUAUUCAGGCAGUAACUCAUUUGCAUAACUUAAACUUGUCAGAAAAUUCAGCGCAAAAAACGACAGAAAUACUGAUCAGAUGGCGAACAUUUUCACAUCAGUUUCUGCCUUUAUAAAUGCCAGUUUGUUCAUUACGUCAAUUCAUGGGAUUUAGUAUCAAGCAUGUGCAUAUUAUAAAUGAGGCCUUGGUCAGAAAAGCGUGACAUUUAUGCAAAUCUGAGUAUUACAGUAGCGACCAAGCCAGAUGUUUUAACAUGGUAUGGUAAAGUAAUGCAAAAAAAUAUUUUGUAAAUAAUCGAUACACAACAAUAUUGUUUAGUUUCACCCUUCAACUGCUAGUCCAGGAUAAUUAUUGUGAAGUAUCUACUUGACAAGAUUUUUGUGUGCUGCUUUCUGAUUAAUAUGCGGUUGAACUGAAAUCCUGAACACUCUUGGGCUUUUACAAAACAUCUGUUAACGGCCAUUGAAGACACAAUGUUUAUGUCUAACCACAAGGAUGUCUCUGUUGAAAGAAGUAACAUGUAAUUUACUGUGAGCUAGACUACUGAAUAGCUGUAUAUGUGAUGUCUUGGUUUCCAGUAAAAAUGUUUAAAGAUUAGAUGACUUUAAAAAUAACUUUGUUUUGAUAAAGUAUUUGCUGGAAAACAAGAUAAAAAUACUGAUUAAUAAAGUUAUUUUUUGCAGUGCUGUUGGCUACAGUGUAAAAGGACUCAGGAUUACAGGAACCCGUUUGGACACGGUUUCACGAAUAAUACCAGAAAGCUACUUCAGAAACACAAAGCAUCAGGACAAAGGACAGUACAGACACAAAAGUGUGAUUCAUUUGAUGUGAAGUGUGGAGUGGCGCAGAUCUUUGAGAACAAACUCAGGCUGUUAAGAUGUAUCACUUUGUAUCAGUUCUUGUUUCACCUCAUCUCAGUCUUUAGCAUUUUGCUGAUCAUAUAAAGUCAAAUAUCAGUCUUGCUGUCCAUGAAAUGGAAUGCAAUUUCAACUACAAAUGGAUUACAAAAUAUUUUAUGGUCAAUAUAUGCUAUGGGCUAGAAAUGAUAUAUUUAUUAUGAAAAAAAAUAUAUAUUAAAUGCAAACUAUGAAAGCAUAUAUGUAAACUGAAAGAAUUGUGAUUUUCCUGUGAAAUAGUGAGAAAUGAAGUCUGUACUGUGCACAUUUGUAAAUACACUUGAUGACGA